GCAAACUUGGUCAUUUAGAGGAAGUAAAAGUCGUAACAAGGUUUCCGUAGGUGAACCUGCGGAAGGAUCAUUACCGAGUGAGGGUCCCCCCGGGGGCCCAACCUCCCACCCGUGUUUACUGUACCCUGUUGCUUCGGCGGGUUGCCCCCGGGCGCCCGCCGGAGACCCCAACAUGAACACUGUACGAGAGCAUUGCAGUCUGAGUGAUUGAUACCAAUCAGUUAAAACUUUCAACAAUGGAUCUCUUGGUUCCGGCAUCGAUGAAGAACGCAGC
This 274-nucleotide unclassified non-coding RNA is filed under the name uncultured fungus. RNAcentral's name for it is "partial contains small subunit ribosomal RNA, internal transcribed spacer 1, and 5.8S ribosomal RNA". The stretch from base 1 to 73 matches the Rfam family "Eukaryotic small subunit ribosomal RNA", at positions 1759 to 1831 of the family's 1831-position model. The record is from RNAcentral. Lineage: Eukaryota; Fungi.